This 642-nucleotide unclassified non-coding RNA is filed under the name Moritella viscosa. RNAcentral's name for it is "putative sRNA". The record is from RNAcentral. Lineage: Bacteria; Pseudomonadati; Pseudomonadota; Gammaproteobacteria; Alteromonadales; Moritellaceae.
UUACGAUCAUUAGAAACGGCUUGCUUGGCAUCGUUUGCUAUGUAUAAUACUGAUCUAUGCCCGAGUGGUGAAAUCGGUAGACGCGGUGGAUUCAAAAUCCUUUUAAAACAAGGCUUUAAACCGAAACUUCGUUCCGGUUUUGCAGUCCUCAAUCAUACCAAAUGAGCCAUGUUUCACCUAAGUUUUUUACCCUAUCUAAACACCUUAUAUCUCUCUAAAACAUACCUAAUAAACGCACAUUAUUACCCUUAGAAAAUCUGCUCCUGUUCAUAUCUUGUACUUUUCCAUGCAGAACUUACGCGCAACAAAAUUUCACGCACUUCUGAUGGUUCCAGCAAGCUCCUGUACUGUAGCGAUUGUUAAUUUUUCUGGUGGUUGUCAGUGACAGUAUUAGCAUGGCAACAGGUUAGGUGAGAUUCCGGUCUUUUACGGUCCUCGUCCUGUCCUCUUGAAUCUGUAUGCGUGAUUCGGUAGGUUUAUCAAUGCUGAAGGUGGUUGCGCUAUUAUUUCGUAAUUGGCAAAUGUGGUAAGUGCUUAUGCGAUAUGGUUUUGUGGCGUGUGUGCGAUUUGAUCGUAGGGGAUAGAUAAUAAAUAACACACACAUUGAUCCCCAGACUUAAUAUUCUUCACAAUUGUAGGGGG